AUUGAACGCUGGCGGCAGGCCUAACACAUGCAAGUCGAGCGAGUGGCGGACGGGUGAGUAAUGUAUGGGGACCUGCCCGAUGGAGGGGGAUAACUACUGGAAACGGUGGCUAAUACCGCAUACCAUCGGAUGAUCCCAGAUGGGAUUGGCUAGUAGGUGGGGUAAAGGCUCACCUAGGCGACGAUCCCUAGCUGGUCUGAGAGGAUGAUCAGCCACACUGGGACUGAGACACGGCCCAGACUCCUACGGGAGGCAGCAGUGGGGAAUAUUGGGCAAUGGGCGCAAGCCUGAUGGAGCCAUGCCGCGGGGAUGAAGAAGGGCUUCGGGUUGUAAAAGUCUUUUAUCGGGGAAGCGGUACCCGCAGAAAAAGCAACGGCUAACUCCGUGCCAGCAGCCGCGGUAAUUC
This 406-nucleotide ribosomal RNA is filed under the name uncultured bacterium. RNAcentral's name for it is "partial 16S ribosomal RNA". It matches the Rfam family "Bacterial small subunit ribosomal RNA", at positions 29 to 526 of the family's 1533-position model. The record is from RNAcentral.